UACAAGGAAGAGGCACUCCGAUACAACCUGUAUAUCACAUAAUGGAGGGCCUCAUUCACAUUGUGGUACAAUUGUUCAGGUAGUGGGACUCCUACACUCACAAGUCCUAUGCAGUAAGUGAACGGGCUUUCAAAAAUUACAACUGGACAUUUGUAUGCUGCGCUGGGACACGGAAGUGGAUGUGGUCGC
Bufo bufo (common toad) is the source of this 189-nucleotide long non-coding RNA. RefSeq lists it as uncharacterized. Lineage: Eukaryota; Metazoa; Chordata; Amphibia; Anura; Bufonidae. The record is from RefSeq and is a predicted model, not a curated record. The transcript is spliced from 3 exons.